UGGGGAAUAUUGCACAAUGGAGGGAACUCUGAUGCAGCGACGCCGCGUGAACGAAGAAGGCUUUCGAGUCGUAAAGUUCUUUUAUAUGGGAAGAUAAUGACGGUACCAUAAGAAGAAGCCCCGGCUAACUACGUGCCAGCAGCCGCGGUAAUACGUAGGGGGCUAGCGUUGUCCGGAAUCACUGGGCGUAAAGGGUUCGCAGGCGGAAAUGCAAGUCAGGUGUAAAAGGCAGUAGCUUAACUACUGUAAGCAUUUGAAACUGCAUAUCUUGAGAAGAGUAGAGGUAAGUGGAAUUUUUAGUGUAGCGGUGAAAUGCAUAGAUAUUAAAAAGAAUACCGGUGGCGAAGGCGACUUACUGGGCUCAUUCUGACGCUGAGGAACGAAAGCGUGGGUAGCAAACAGG
This 403-nucleotide ribosomal RNA is filed under the name bacterium. RNAcentral describes it as "partial 16S ribosomal RNA". It matches the Rfam family "Bacterial small subunit ribosomal RNA", at positions 355 to 776 of the family's 1533-position model. The record is from RNAcentral.